Molecule: ribosomal RNA, 516 nt
Filed under: uncultured bacterium
Lineage: Bacteria
Description: bacterial SSU rRNA
Rfam family: Bacterial small subunit ribosomal RNA
Source: RNAcentral
GAACUUAGCAGAGAUGCUUUGGUGCCUUCGGGAACUCUGAGACAGGUGCUGCAUGGCUGUCGUCAGCUCGUGUUGUGAAAUGUUGGGUUAAGUCCCGCAACGAGCGCAACCCUUAUCCUUUGUUGCCAGCGAUUCGGUCGGGAACUCAAAGGAGACUGCCAGUGAUAAACUGGAGGAAGGUGGGGAUGACGUCAAGUCAUCAUGGCCCUUACGAGUAGGGCUACACACGUGCUACAAUGGCGCAUACAAAGAGAAGCGACCUCGCGAGAGCAAGCGGACCUCAUAAAGUGCGUCGUAGUCCGGAUUGGAGUCUGCAACUCGACUCCAUGAAGUCGGAAUCGCUAGUAAUCGUAGAUCAGAAUGCUACGGUGAAUACGUUCCCGGGCCUUGUACACACCGCCCGUCACACCAUGGGAGUGGGUUGCAAAAGAAGUAGGUAGCUUAACUUUCGGGAGGGCGCUUACCACUUUGUGAUUCAUGACUGGGGUGAAGUCGUAACAAGGUAGGCGUAGUGCU